This 533-nucleotide ribosomal RNA is filed under the name Pristimantis quaquaversus (Rio Coca robber frog). RNAcentral describes it as "partial 16S ribosomal RNA". It matches the Rfam family "Bacterial large subunit ribosomal RNA", at positions 1912 to 2605 of the family's 2925-position model. Lineage: Eukaryota; Metazoa; Chordata; Amphibia; Anura; Strabomantidae. The record is from RNAcentral.
CAGUGACCCUGUUCAACGGCCGCGGUAUCCUAACCGUGCAAAGGUAGCGUAACCACUUGUCUUCUAAAUAAAGACCAGUAUGAAAGGCACCACGAAGACUAAACUGUCUCCCCCUUCUAAUCAGUGAACCUAAUCUCCCCGUGAAGAAGCGGGGGUAAAGCCAUAAGACGAAAAGACCCUAUGGAGCUUAAAACAUCAUAACAUUUGCCUCCUCCUCUAACUACCCCGGUAUUUCCCCCAUGGCACCCUGAUUAUAUGUUUUUGGUUGGGGUGACCGCGGAGAAAAAUCCAUCCUCCACGAUGAAGGGAAUCCCCUUAAACAAUAAGCCACAACUUUAUGUAUUAAUAAAUUAACAUCUUUGACCCAAUUACUUUGACUAACGAACCAAGUUACCCUAGGGAUAACAGCGCAAUCCACUUUGAGAGCUCCUAUCGACAAGUGGGCUUACGACCUCGAUGUUGGAUCGGGGUAGCCUAGUGGUGCAGCCGCUACUAAAGGUUCGUUUGUUCAACGAUUAAAACCCCACGUGAUC